GAUGAACGCUGGCGGCGUGCUUAACACAUGCAAGUCGAACGAAGAUGCCGGAGUGCUUGCACUUUGGCAGACUGAGUGGCGGACGGGUGAGUAACGCGUGAGGAACCUGCCUCAAAGAGGGGGACAACAGUUGGAAACGACUGCUAAUACCGCAUAAGCCCACGGCUCGGCAUCGAGCAGAGGGAAAAGGAGCGAUCCGCUUUGAGAUGGCCUCGCGUCCGAUUAGCUAGUUGGUGAGGUAACGGCCCACCAAGGCGACGAUCGGUAGCCGGACUGAGAGGUUGAACGGCCACAUUGGGACUGAGACACGGCCCAGACUCCUACGGGAGGCAGCAGUGGGGAAUAUUGCACAAUGGGGGAAACCCUGAUGCAGCGACGCCGCGUGGAGGAAGAAGGUCUUCGGGAUUGUAAACUCCUGUUGUUGAGGAAGAUAAUGACGGUACUCAACAAGGAAGUGACGGCUAACUACGUGCCAGCAGCCGCGGU
This 486-nucleotide ribosomal RNA is filed under the name uncultured bacterium. Its description in RNAcentral is "bacterial SSU rRNA". It matches the Rfam family "Bacterial small subunit ribosomal RNA", at positions 28 to 521 of the family's 1533-position model. The record is from RNAcentral.